This 50-nucleotide small RNA is filed under the name Sinorhizobium meliloti 2011. RNAcentral describes it as "putative ncRNA". The record is from RNAcentral. Lineage: Bacteria; Pseudomonadati; Pseudomonadota; Alphaproteobacteria; Hyphomicrobiales; Rhizobiaceae.
CUCACACGGAAUUUCGUUGCAUCUUGUUAUCAGUGUCUGAUAACAUAGAU